UUACGGGAGGCAGCAGUAGGGAAUCUUCCACAAUGGGCGAAAGCCUGAUGGAGCAACGCCGCGUGAGUGAAGAAGGUUUUCGGAUCGUAAAGCUCUGUUGUUGGUGAAGAAGGAUAGAGGUAGUAACUGGCCCCUAUUUGACGGUAAUC
This 149-nucleotide ribosomal RNA is filed under the name uncultured Bacillus sp. Its description in RNAcentral is "partial 16S ribosomal RNA". It matches the Rfam family "Bacterial small subunit ribosomal RNA", at positions 339 to 480 of the family's 1533-position model. Lineage: Bacteria; Bacillati; Bacillota; Bacilli; Caryophanales; Bacillaceae. The record is from RNAcentral.